Molecule: microRNA precursor, 90 nt
Organism: Chelonoidis abingdonii (Abingdon island giant tortoise)
Lineage: Eukaryota; Metazoa; Chordata; Testudines; Testudinidae
Source: Ensembl
CCGAGGCCCUGGGGGAUGAGGUAGUAGAUUGUAUAGUUUUAGGGUCACACCCGGUCUCGGAGAUAACUAUACAGUCUACUGUCUUUCCCG